GACGAACGCUGGCGGCGUGCUUAACACAUGCAAGUCGAACGGAAAGGCCCUGCUUGCAGGGUACUCGAGUGGCGAACGGGUGAGUAACACGUGGGUGAUCUGCCCUGCACUUCGGGAUAAGCCUGGGAAACUGGGUCUAAUACCGGAUAGGAGCCAUUUUUAGUGUGAUGGUUGGAAAGUUUUUUCGGUGUAGGAUGAGCUCGCGGCCUAUCAGCUUGUUGGUGGGGUAAUGGCCUACCAAGGCGGCGACGGGUAGCCGGCCUGAGAGGGUGGACGGCCACAUUGGGACUGAGAGACGGCCCAGACUCCUACGGGAGGCAGCAGUGGGGAAUAUUGCACAAUGGGCGCAAGCCUGAUGCAGCGACGCCGCGUGGGGGAUGACGGCCUUCGGGUUGCAAACUCCGUUCGCUAGGGACGAAGCUUUUUGUGACGGUACCUAGAGAAGAAGCACCGGCUAACUACGUG
Molecule: ribosomal RNA, 465 nt
Filed under: uncultured bacterium
Lineage: Bacteria
Description: partial 16S ribosomal RNA
Rfam family: Bacterial small subunit ribosomal RNA
Source: RNAcentral